RNAcentral lists this ribosomal RNA (2925 nucleotides) under Escherichia coli. RNAcentral describes it as "bacterial LSU rRNA". It matches the Rfam family "Bacterial large subunit ribosomal RNA". Lineage: Bacteria; Pseudomonadati; Pseudomonadota; Gammaproteobacteria; Enterobacterales; Enterobacteriaceae. The record is from RNAcentral.
GGGUUGUGAGGUUAAGCGACUAAGCGUACACGGUGGAUGCCCUGGCAGUCAGAGGCGAUGAAGGACGUGCUAAUCUGCGAUAAGCGUCGGUGAGGUGAUAUGAACCGUUAUAACCGGCGAUUUCCGAAUGGGGAAACCCAGUGUGUUUCGACACACUAUCAUUAACUGAAUCCAUAGGUUAAUGAGGCGAACCGGGGGAACUGAAACAUCUAAGUACCCCGAGGAAAAGAAAUCAACCGAGAUUCCCCCAGUAGCGGCGAGCGAACGGGGAGGAGCCCAGAGCCUGAAUCAGUGUGUGUGUUAGUGGAAGCGUCUGGAAAGGCGCGCGAUACAGGGUGACAGCCCCGUACACAAAAAUGCACAUAUUGUGAGCUCGAUGAGUAGGGCGGGACACGUGGUAUCCUGUCUGAAUAUGGGGGGACCAUCCUCCAAGGCUAAAUACUCCUGACUGACCGAUAGUGAACCAGUACCGUGAGGGAAAGGCGAAAAGAACCCCGGCGAGGGGAGUGAAAAAGAACCUGAAACCGUGUACGUACAAGCAGUGGGAGCCUCUUAAUGGGGUGACUGCGUACCUUUUGUAUAAUGGGUCAGCGACUUAUAUUCUGUAGCAAGGUUAACCGAAUAGGGGAGCCGAAGGGAAACCGAGUCUUAACUGGGCGUUAAGUUGCAGGGUAUAGACCCGAAACCCGGUGAUCUAGCCAUGGGCAGGUUGAAGGUUGGGUAACACUAACUGGAGGACCGAACCGACUAAUGUUGAAAAAUUAGCGGAUGACUUGUGGCUGGGGGUGAAAGGCCAAUCAAACCGGUAGAUAGCUGGUUCUCCCCGAAAGCUAUUUAGGUAGCGCCUCGUGAAUUCAUCUCCGGGGGUAGAGCACUGUUUCGGCAAGGGGGUCAUCCCGACUUACCAACCCGAUGCAAACUGCGAAUACCGGAGAAUGUUAUCACGGGAGACACACGGCGGGUGCUAACGUCCGUCGUGAAGAGGGAAACAACCCAGACCGCCAGCUAAGGUCCCAAAGUCAUGGUUAAGUGGGAAACGAUGUGGGAAGGCCCAGACAGCCAGGAUGUUGGCUUAGAAGCAGCCAUCAUUUAAAGAAAGCGUAAUAGCUCACUGGUCGAGUCGGCCUGCGCGGAAGAUGUAACGGGGCUAAACCAUGCACCGAAGCUGCGGCAGCGACACUAUGUGUUGUUGGGUAGGGGAGCGUUCUGUAAGCCUGUGAAGGUGGCCUGUGAGGGUUGCUGGAGGUAUCAGAAGUGCGAAUGCUGACAUAAGUAACGAUAAAGCGGGUGAAAAGCCCGCUCGCCGGAAGACCAAGGGUUCCUGUCCAACGUUAAUCGGGGCAGGGUGAGUCGACCCCUAAGGCGAGGCCGAAAGGCGUAGUCGAUGGGAAACAGGUUAAUAUUCCUGUACUUGGUGUUACUGCGAAGGGGGGACGGAGAAGGCUAUGUUGGCCGGGCGACGGUUGUCCCGGUUUAAGCGUGUAGGCUGGUUUUCCAGGCAAAUCCGGAAAAUCAAGGCUGAGGCGUGAUGACGAGGCACUACGGUGCUGAAGCGACAAAUGCCCUGCUUCCAGGAAAAGCCUCUAAGCAUCAGGUAACAUCAAAUCGUACCCCAAACCGACACAGGUGGUCAGGUAGAGAAUACCAAGGCGCUUGAGAGAACUCGGGUGAAGGAACUAGGCAAAAUGGUGCCGUAACUUCGGGAGAAGGCACGCUGAUAUGUAGGUGAAGCGACUUGCUCGUGGAGCUGAAAUCAGUCGAAGAUACCAGCUGGCUGCAACUGUUUAUUAAAAACACAGCACUGUGCAAACACGAAAGUGGACGUAUACGGUGUGACGCCUGCCCGGUGCCGGAAGGUUAAUUGAUGGGGUUAGCGGUAACGCGAAGCUCUUGAUCGAAGCCCCGGUAAACGGCGGCCGUAACUAUAACGGUCCUAAGGUAGCGAAAUUCCUUGUCGGGUAAGUUCCGACCUGCACGAAUGGCGUAAUGAUGGCCAGGCUGUCUCCACCCGAGACUCAGUGAAAUUGAACUCGCUGUGAAGAUGCAGUGUACCCGCGGCAAGACGGAAAGACCCCGUGAACCUUUACUAUAGCUUGACACUGAACAUUGAGCCUUGAUGUGUAGGAUAGGUGGGAGGCUUUGAAGUGUGGACGCCAGUCUGCAUGGAGCCGACCUUGAAAUACCACCCUUUAAUGUUUGAUGUUCUAACGUGGGCCCCUUACCGGGGUUGCGGACAGUGUCUGGUGGGUAGUUUGACUGGGGCGGUUUCCUCCUAAAGAGUAACGGAGGAGCACGAAGGUUGGCUAAUCCUGGUCGGACAUCAGGAGGUUAGUGCAAUGGCAUAAGCCAGCUUGACUGCGAGCGUGACGGCGCGAGCAGGUGCGAAAGCAGGUCAUAGUGAUCCGGUGGUUCUGAAUGGAAGGGCCAUCGCUCAACGGAUAAAAGGUACUCCGGGGAUAACAGGCUGAUACCGCCCAAGAGUUCAUAUCGACGGCGGUGUUUGGCACCUCGAUGUCGGCUCAUCACAUCCUGGGGCUGAAGUAGGUCCCAAGGGUAUGGCUGUUCGCCAUUUAAAGUGGUACGCGAGCUGGGUUUAGAACGUCGUGAGACAGUUCGGUCCCUAUCUGCCGUGGGCGCUGGAGAACUGAGGGGGGCUGCUCCUAGUACGAGAGGACCGGAGUGGACGCAUCACUGGUGUUCGGGUUGUCAUGCCAAUGGCACUGCCCGGUAGCUAAAUGCGGAAGAGAUAAGUGCUGAAAGCAUCUAAGCACGAAACUUGCCCCGAGAUGAGUUCUCCCUGACUCCUUGAGAGUCCUGAAGGAACGUUGAAGACGACGACGUUGAUAGGCCGGGUGUGUAAGCGCAGCGAUGCGUUGAGCUAACCGGUACUAAUGAACCGUGAGGCUUAACCUUACAACGCCGAAG